Molecule: ribosomal RNA, 406 nt
Filed under: uncultured bacterium
Lineage: Bacteria
Description: partial 16S ribosomal RNA
Rfam family: Bacterial small subunit ribosomal RNA
Source: RNAcentral
AUUGAACGCUGGCGGCAGGCUUAACACAUGCAAGUCGAGCGAGCGGCGGACGGGUGAGUAAUGUCUGGGAAUCUGCCCGAUGGAGGGGGAUAACUACUGGAAACGGUAGCUAAUACCGCAUACCAUCAGAUGUGCCCAUAUGGGAUUAGCUAGUAGGUGGGGUAAUGGCUCACCUAGGCCACGAUCCCUAGCUGGUCUGAGAGGAUGACCAGCCACACUGGAACUGAGACACGGUCCAGACUCCUACGUGAGGCAGCAGUGGGGAAUAUUGCACAAUGGGCGCAAGCCUGAUGCAGCCAUGCCGCGUGUGUGAAGAAGGCCUUCGGGUUGUAAAGCACUUUCAGCGAGGAGGCGUUACUCGCAGAAGAAGCACCGGCUAACUCCGUGCCAGCCGCCGCGGUAAUAC